Regulatory RNA element from Shewanella woodyi ATCC 51908, 135 nucleotides. It matches the Rfam family "Molybdenum/Tungsten riboswitch aptamer (Moco RNA motif)". Lineage: Bacteria; Pseudomonadati; Pseudomonadota; Gammaproteobacteria; Alteromonadales; Shewanellaceae. The record is from Rfam.
UCACUGACGGUUCUCCGAGCUUUUUGUCCUACGUCAACAGAUAUGGACGCUAAGCCGUGGCAAUAUCGCCACCGGGGUGUGAUAAGAAAUUCUCUCACCUCCCCUUACUUGGAAAGGUGAUCAUGUCUCAACUAC